AGAAGAAGUAAGGCCCCUCAAAGACGAUGAGGUAGAUAGGCCGGGUAUGGAAGCGCAGUGAUGCGUGGAGUUGACCGGUACUAAUCGGCCGAGGACUUGAUCAGAGCC
This 108-nucleotide ribosomal RNA is filed under the name Erysipelotrichaceae bacterium. Its description in RNAcentral is "partial 23S ribosomal RNA". It matches the Rfam family "Bacterial large subunit ribosomal RNA", at positions 2821 to 2925 of the family's 2925-position model. Lineage: Bacteria; Bacillati; Bacillota; Erysipelotrichia; Erysipelotrichales; Erysipelotrichaceae. The record is from RNAcentral.